GUGCAUGGCAGCAUCGCUUUUAACCUGAAAAAUUAAACCUGUUCUUGAAUACUUAAUACUUGCAUGGCCAUGAUCUGUAAAGAGUUUGAAUGCGAAACAAAAAAAUACAACUUAACUAGAUGAAAGCUUGUAGAUAUCUGUCAAUUUGAAUACAACUUAACUAGAUGAAAGCUUGUAGAUAUCUGUCAAUUUGCACCCUUGAACUGAAGUAGGCUCUUCUAUAUAUACCGGAAGGUGCAUGCUGUUGCAUCUGUCAUCUUCCCACUUUUAUCUCGAACUUUUUUGGUUUGCC
RNAcentral lists this long non-coding RNA (292 nucleotides) under Populus trichocarpa (black cottonwood). RNAcentral's name for it is "long non-coding RNA (PTRI_LNC000255)". Lineage: Eukaryota; Viridiplantae; Streptophyta; Magnoliopsida; Malpighiales; Salicaceae. The record is from RNAcentral.